RNAcentral lists this ribosomal RNA (253 nucleotides) under uncultured bacterium. RNAcentral describes it as "partial 16S ribosomal RNA". It matches the Rfam family "Bacterial small subunit ribosomal RNA", at positions 524 to 776 of the family's 1533-position model. The record is from RNAcentral.
UACAGAGGUCCCGAGCGUUGUUCGGAUUCACUGGGCGUAAAGGGUGCGUAGGUGGCAUAGAAAGUUUGAUGUGAAAGCUCAGGGCUUAACCCUGAAAUGGCAUUGAAUACUGCUGUGCUGGAGGGUUGGAGGGGGGACUGGAAUUCUUGGUGUAGCAGUGAAAUGCGUAGAUAUCAAGAGGAACACCAGUGGCGAAGGCGAGUCCCUGGACAACACCUGACACUGAGGCACGAAAGCCGGGGGAGCAAACAGG